Molecule: ribosomal RNA, 497 nt
Filed under: uncultured bacterium
Lineage: Bacteria
Description: partial 16S ribosomal RNA
Rfam family: Bacterial small subunit ribosomal RNA
Source: RNAcentral
GAUGAACGCUGGCGGCGUGCCUAAUACAUGCAAGUCGAGCGAACGGACGAGAAGUUUGCUUCGCUGAUGUUAGCGGCGCACGGGUGAGUAACACGUGGAUAACCUAUCUAUAAGACUGGGAUAACUUAGGGAAACCGGCGCCAAUACCGGAUAAUAUUUUGAACCGCAUGGUUCAAAAGUGAAAGACGGUCUUGCUGUCACUUAUAGAUGUAUCCGCGCUGCAUUAGCUAGUUGGUAAGGUAACGGCUUACCAAGGCAACGAUGCAUAGCCGACCUGAGAGUGUGAUCGGCCACACUGGAACUGAGAGACGGUCCAGACUCCUACGGGAGGCAGCAGUGGGGAAGCUUCCGCAAUGGGCGAAAGCCUGACGGAGCAACGCCGCGUGAGUGAUGAAGGUCUUCGGAUCGUAAAACUCUGUUAUUAGGGAAGAACAUAUGUGUAAGUAGCUGUGCACAUCUUGACGGUACCUAAUCAGAAAGCCACGGCUAACUACGUG